This 303-nucleotide ribosomal RNA is filed under the name uncultured bacterium. RNAcentral describes it as "bacterial SSU rRNA". It matches the Rfam family "Bacterial small subunit ribosomal RNA", at positions 355 to 675 of the family's 1533-position model. The record is from RNAcentral.
UGGGGGAUAUUGCACAAUGGGGGAAACCCUGAUGCAGCAACGCCGCGUGAACGAAGAAGGUCUUCGGAUUGUAAAGUUCUGUUCUUGGUGAAGAUAAUGACGGUAGCCAAGGAGAAAGCUCCGGCUAACUACGUGCCAGCAGCCGCGGUAAUACGUAGGGAGCGAGCGUUGUCCGGAUUUACUGGGUGUAAAGGGUGCGCAGGCGGCUCUGCAAGUCAGGCGUGAAAGCUAGGGGCUCAACCCCUAAACUGCGCUUGAAACUGUGGAGCUUGAGUGAAGUAGAGGCAGGCGGAAUUCCCGGUG